This 897-nucleotide ribosomal RNA is filed under the name Cytophagaceae bacterium. Its description in RNAcentral is "bacterial SSU rRNA". It matches the Rfam family "Bacterial small subunit ribosomal RNA", at positions 1 to 875 of the family's 1533-position model. The record is from RNAcentral. Lineage: Bacteria; Pseudomonadati; Bacteroidota; Cytophagia; Cytophagales; Cytophagaceae.
UAAGUGGAGAGUUUGAUCCUGGCUCAGAACGAACGCUGGCGGCGUGCUUAACACAUGCAAGUCGAGCGCGAAAGUCCUUCGGGAUGAGUAGAGCGGCGCACGGGUGAGUAACACGUGGGUAAUCUGCCCUCGGGUCUGGAAUAACUAAGGGAAACUUUAGCUAAUGCCGGAUAAGACCACACAACGAGAGUUGUGUGGGAAAAGCAGGGGCCCUCUUCGGAGGCCUUGCGCCGGAGGAUGAGCCCGCGGCCCAUCAGCUAGUUGGCGGGGUAAUGGCCCACCAAGGCUAAGACGGGUAGCUGGUCUGAGAGGAUGACCAGCCACACUGGAACUGAGACACGGUCCAGACUCCUACGGGAGGCAGCAGUGGGGAAUAUUGCGCAAUGGGGGAAACCCUGACGCAGCAACGCCGCGUGAGUGAUGAAGGCCUUCGGGUCGUAAAGCUCUGUCGGCAGGAACGAGGGUGUGUGGCUCUAAUAAAGGCAUGCAUUGACGGUACCUGCAAAGGAAGCACCGGCUAACUCUGUGCCAGCAGCCGCGGUAAGACAGAGGGUGCAAGCGUUGUUCGGAAUUAUUGGGCGUAAAGGGCGCGUAGGCGGCCUGUUUAGUCGGAUGUGAAAGCCCAGGGCUCAACCUUGGAAGUGCAUCCGAAACUGGCAGGCUUGAGUACUGCAGAGGGUGGUGGAAUUCCUAGUGUAGAGGUGAAAUUCGUAGAUAUUAGGAGGAACACCGGUGGCGAAGGCGACCACCUGGACAGAAACUGACGCUGAGGCGCGAGAGCGUGGGUAGCAAACAGGAUUAGAUACCCUGGUAGUCCACGCCGUAAACGAUGGAUACUAGGUGUUUCGGGUAUUGACCCCCGAAGUGCCGUCGCUAACGCAUUAAGUAUCCCGCCUG